GAUUAAACCUUCAACUUUCUCAACAAUCUUAAUUAACUUCUUUGGUCUCAUUCCCAUGGAUUCUGCACCCCGCACUCUGGAAAUCACAGUUUUAUCUGCUGAAAACCUGCGUCUGGAUGGAAAAUCCGUGAAAAAGGACGCCUUCGUUGUUGUAAAAUUUGAUUCUCUCAAUUCUAAAUCUACCAAGGCUGAUCAUGAAGGGGGAAGCAAUCCUUCCUGGAAUCAAAAACUCGAAAUGGA
This 240-nucleotide unclassified non-coding RNA is filed under the name Hevea brasiliensis (rubber tree). The record is from RNAcentral. Lineage: Eukaryota; Viridiplantae; Streptophyta; Magnoliopsida; Malpighiales; Euphorbiaceae.